This 255-nucleotide unclassified non-coding RNA is filed under the name uncultured fungus. RNAcentral's name for it is "partial contains 5.8S ribosomal RNA, internal transcribed spacer 2, and large subunit ribosomal RNA". The stretch from base 1 to 52 matches the Rfam family "5.8S ribosomal RNA", at positions 103 to 154 of the family's 154-position model. Lineage: Eukaryota; Fungi. The record is from RNAcentral.
AACGCACCUUGCGCCUUUUGGUAUUCCGAAAGGCAUGCCUGUUUGAGUGUCAUGAAAUAUCAACCCCUCAGGUUUUUUGCUUGGAGGGUUGGACUUGGGUGUCUGCCGCUUUGGCUCACCUCAAAAGUGUUAGUGGACCUGCUUCCAUCAGCUUGACGUAAUAAGUUUCGUCAGGUCAAGGGUUGCAACCGCUCAUAACCCCCAUAUUUCUUUAGCUCUGACCUCAAAUCAGGUAGGACUACCCGCUGAACUUAA